AAAAAAGGUAAGCUACUAAGAGCGAAUGGUGGAUGCCUUGACUGGUAAAGGCGAUGAAGGACGUACUAGACUGCGAUAAGCUACGGGGAGCUGUCAAGAAGCUUUGAUCCGUAGAUUUCCGAAUGGGGCAACCCAAUGUAUAGAGAUAUACAUUACCUAUAUAGGAGCGAACGAGGGGAAUUGAAACAUCUUAGUACCCUCAGGAAAAGAAAUCAAUAGAGAUUGCGUCAGUAGCGGCGAGCGAAAGCGCAAGAGGGCAAACCCAGUGCUUGCACUGGGGGUUGUAGGACUGCAAUGUGCAAGAGGUAAGUUUAGCAGAACAUUCUGGAAAGUAUAACCAUAGAGGGUGAUAGUCCCGUAUGCGAAAAACAAACCUUAGCUAGCAGUAUCCUGAGUAGGGCGGGACACGAGGAAUCCUGUCUGAAUCCGGGUCGACCACGAUCCAACCCUAAAUACUAAUACCAGAUCGAUAGUGCACAAGUACCGUGAGGGAAAGGUGAAAAGAACUGAGGUGAUCAGAGUGAAAUAGAACCUGAAACCAUUUGCUUACAAUCAUUCAGAGCCCUAUGUAGCAAUACAGGGUGAUGGACUGCCUUUUGCAUAAUGAGCCUGCGAGUUGUGGUGUCUGGCAAGGUUAAGCAAACGCGAAGCCGUAGCGAAAGCGAGUCUGAAUAGGGCGCUUAGUCAGAUGCUGCAGACCCGAAACGAAGUGAUCUAUCCAUGAGCAAGUUGAAGCUAGUGUAAGAACUAGUGGAGGACUGAACCCAUAGGCGUUGAAAAGCCCCGGGAUGACUUGUGGAUAGGGGUGAAAGGCCAAUCAAACUUCGUGAUAGCUGGUUCUCUCCGAAAUAUAUUUAGGUAUAGCGUUGUGUCGUAAUAUAAGGGGGUAGAGCACUGAAUGGGCUAGGGCAUACACCAAUGUACCAAACCCUAUCAAACUCCGAAUACCUUAUAUGUAAUCACAGCAGUCAGGCGGCGAGUGAUAAAAUCCGUCGUCAAGAGGGAAACAACCCAGACUACCAGCUAAGGUCCCUAAAUCUUACUUAAGUGGAAAACGAUGUGAAGUUACUUAAACAACCAGGAGGUUGGCUUAGAAGCAGCCAUCCUUUAAAGAAAGCGUAAUAGCUCACUGGUCUAGUGAUUUUGCGCGGAAAAUAUAACGGGGCUAAAGUAAGUACCGAAGCUGUAGACUUGCACACAACUUAGAUUAUUUAAGUUUAGAAUAUGAGAAACUAAGUUAUAUGUUUAGUUAUAUUUUUACUGAUUUUUAUAGAGUAAAGAUAGAAAUAAAACUUAGUAAAAUCAGUAAAAAUAUUCUUAGACUAAAGUUAAGUAGUUUAAGUUGUGUGCAAGUGGUAGGAGAGCGUUCUAUUUGCGUCGAAGGUAUACCGGUAAGGAGUGCUGGAGCGAAUAGAAGUGAGCAUGCAGGCAUGAGUAGCGAUAAUUAAUGUGAGAAUCAUUAACGCCGUAAACCCAAGGUUUCCUACGCGAUGCUCGUCAUCGUAGGGUUAGUCGGGUCCUAAGUCGAGUCCGAAAGGGGUAGACGAUGGCAAAUUGGUUAAUAUUCCAAUACCAACAUUAGUGUGCGAUGGAAGGACGCUUAGGGCUAAGGGGGCUAGCGGAUGGAAGUGCUAGUCUAAGGUCGUAGGAGGUUAUACAGGCAAAUCCGUAUAACAAUACUCCGAGAACUGAAAGGCUUUUUGAAGUCUUCGGAUGGAUAGAAGAACCCCUGAUGCCGUCGAGCCAAGAAAAGUUUCUAAGUUUAGCUAAUGUUGCCCGUACCGUAAACCGACACAGGUGGGUGGGAUGAGUAUUCUAAGGCGCGUGGAAGAACUCUCUUUAAGGAACUCUGCAAAAUAGCACCGUAUCUUCGGUAUAAGGUGUGGUUAGCUUUGUAUUAGGAUUUACUCCGAAAGCAAGGAAACUUACAACAAAGAGUCCCUCCCGACUGUUUACCAAAAACACAGCACUCUGCUAACUCGUAAGAGGAUGUAUAGGGUGUGACGCCUGCCCGGUGCUCGAAGGUUAAUUGAUGGGGUUAGCAUUAGCGAAGCUCUUGAUCGAAGCCCGAGUAAACGGCGGCCGUAACUAUAACGGUCCUAAGGUAGCGAAAUUCCUUGUCGGUUAAAUACCGACCUGCAUGAAUGGCGUAACGAGAUGGGAGCUGUCUCAAAGAGGGAUCCAGUGAAAUUGUAGUGGAGGUGAAAAUUCCUCCUACCCGCGGCAAGACGGCAAGACCCCGUGGACCUUUACUACAGCUUGACACUGCUACUUGGAUAAGAAUGUGCAGGAUAGGUGGGAGGCUUUGAGUAUAUGACGCCAGUUGUAUAUGAGCCAUUGUUGAGAUACCACUCUUUCUUAUUUGGGUAGCUAACCAGCUUGAGUUAUCCUCAAGUGGGACAAUGUCUGGUGGGUAGUUUGACUGGGGCGGUCGCCUCCCAAAUAAUAACGGAGGCUUACAAAGGUUGGCUCAGAACGGUUGGAAAUCGUUCGUAGAGUAUAAAGGUAUAAGCCAGCUUAACUGCAAGACAUACAAGUCAAGCAGAGACGAAAGUCGGUCUUAGUGAUCCGGUGGUUCUGUGUGGAAGGGCCAUCGCUCAAAGGAUAAAAGGUACCCCGGGGAUAACAGGCUGAUCUCCCCCAAGAGCUCACAUCGACGGGGAGGUUUGGCACCUCGAUGUCGGCUCAUCGCAUCCUGGGGCUGGAGCAGGUCCCAAGGGUAUGGCUGUUCGCCAUUUAAAGCGGUACGCGAGCUGGGUUCAGAACGUCGUGAGACAGUUCGGUCCCUAUCUGCCGUGGGCGUAAGAAGAUUGAAGAGAUUUGACCCUAGUACGAGAGGACCGGGUUGAACAAACCACUGGUGUAGCUGUUGUUCUGCCAAGAGCAUCGCAGCGUAGCUAAGUUUGGAAAGGAUAAACGCUGAAAGCAUCUAAGCGUGAAGCCAACUCUAAGAUGAAUCUUCUCUAAGCUCUCUAGAAGACUACUAGUUUGAUAGGCUGGGUGUGUAAUGGAUGAAAGUCCUUUAGCUGACCAGUACUAAUAGAGCGUUUGGCUUAUCUUUAAUAAAGCAU
RNAcentral lists this ribosomal RNA (3071 nucleotides) under Campylobacter jejuni. RNAcentral's name for it is "23S ribosomal RNA". It matches the Rfam family "Bacterial large subunit ribosomal RNA". The record is from RNAcentral. Lineage: Bacteria; Pseudomonadati; Campylobacterota; Epsilonproteobacteria; Campylobacterales; Campylobacteraceae.